RNAcentral lists this ribosomal RNA (465 nucleotides) under Vreelandella stevensii. RNAcentral describes it as "partial 16S ribosomal RNA". It matches the Rfam family "Bacterial small subunit ribosomal RNA", at positions 338 to 795 of the family's 1533-position model. The record is from RNAcentral. Lineage: Bacteria; Pseudomonadati; Pseudomonadota; Gammaproteobacteria; Oceanospirillales; Halomonadaceae.
CCUACGGGUGGCUGCAGUGGGGAAUAUUGGACAAUGGGGGUAACCCUGAUCCAGCCAUGCCGCGUGUGUGAAGAAGGCCCUCGGGUUGUAAAGCACUUUCAGUGAGGAAGAACGCCUGGUGGUUAAUACCCAUCAGGAAAGACAUCACUCACAGAAGAAGCACCGGCUAACUCCGUGCCAGCAGCCGCGGUAAUACGGAGGGUGCGAGCGUUAAUCGGAAUUACUGGGCGUAAAGCGCGCGUAGGUGGCUUGAUAAGCCGGUUGUGAAAGCCCCGGGCUCAACCUGGGAACGGCAUCCGGAACUGUCAAGCUAGAGUGCAGGAGAGGAAGGUAGAAUUCCCGGUGUAGCGGUGAAAUGCGUAGAGAUCGGGAGGAAUACCAGUGGCGAAGGCGGCCUUCUGGACUGACACUGACACUGAGGUGCGAAAGCGUGGGUAGCAAACAGGAUUAGAUACCCUAGUAGUC